AAGCCAGUCGCCAUUUUAAAUGUAAAAUCAUAAAAGACAUAAAAAUGCAUAACUUUCAAAUAACCGAACAUUUCCCAUUCGUAUCACAUAUCCCCAGAUAGCCUGGAUCUGAGUGCAUAUUAUUAGCGAAUAGCGCUCAGAUCCCACACACAUAAUUCAAUCGCCAAUGGGGUCAAAGUUCUUACAGUCUUUCGGUAUACGAAUGACUCCAUGGGAAGGCUAUCUGGGUUAAGUCUUUUCGUAUGCUCCAAACCUCCCGAACGGCCGGUAUUCGUAUGCUUUCGUGGAGACAGCCAGGCG
Pelobates cultripes (western spadefoot toad) is the source of this 300-nucleotide non-coding RNA. The record is from the annotation of a GenBank genome assembly. NCBI's taxonomy places the organism in Eukaryota, Metazoa, Chordata, Amphibia, Anura, Pelobatidae.